CCUUGAUCUCUUGAUCCCUAUAGUUUCUUCCGAAUCCCCCUUGCCUUGCGAAAUUUGCAAAGACGCCUGAUUGUGACACCGCCACUGGGGGUACGGUGGCUGGGUGGGCAGGUAAAGGUGAGUUACUUGCCUGAACUGGUCCUUCACUGGCACCACCAUCUUGUUCCAGCGGGUCACCGCAUUGAGGUGUAUGCAGGAUGCAGGAGAUCCUCUAUAUACUAAGCCAAUUACCUGUCAGGAUUUACUCUGUACCACUGUGGAAAUAUAGAGAGAAAGUAGG
Pelobates cultripes (western spadefoot toad) is the source of this 280-nucleotide non-coding RNA. The record is from the annotation of a GenBank genome assembly. Lineage: Eukaryota; Metazoa; Chordata; Amphibia; Anura; Pelobatidae.